AAUACGGAGGGUGCGAGCGUUACCCGGAUUUACUGGGUGUAAAGGGCGUGUAGGCGGUCUUGCAAGUCCGGUGCUAAAGACCGGGGCUCAACCCCGGGGGUGCGCUGGAUACUGUAAGGCUAGACGGUCGGAGGGGGUAGUGGAAUUUCCGGAGUAGCGGUGAAAUGCGCAGAUACCGGAAGGAACGCCGAUAGCGAAGGCAGCUACCUGGACGACAUGUGACGCUGAGGCGCGAAAGCGUGGGGAGCAAACCGGAUUAGAUACCCGGGUAGUCCACGCCCUAAACGAUGAGUGCUGGGUGUCCGGCAUCCGCCGGGUGCCGAAGCUAACGCGUUAAGCACUCCACCUGGGGAGUACGGCCGCAAGGUU
RNAcentral lists this ribosomal RNA (369 nucleotides) under uncultured Thermaceae bacterium. RNAcentral describes it as "bacterial SSU rRNA". It matches the Rfam family "Bacterial small subunit ribosomal RNA", at positions 522 to 895 of the family's 1533-position model. The record is from RNAcentral. Lineage: Bacteria; Thermotogati; Deinococcota; Deinococci; Thermales; Thermaceae.